CUGGCGGCAUGCCUAACACAUGCAAGUCGAACGAGAUUUUCGGAUCUAGUGGCGCACGGGUGAGUAACGCGUGGGAACCUACCUUUCAGUAUGGGACAACGUUUGGAAACGAACGCUAAUACCGUAUACGCCCUCCGGGGGAAAGGUCAGCCGCUGAAAGAGGGGCCCGCGUCUGAUUAGCUUGUUGGUAAGGUAAUGGCUUACCAAGGCUACGAUCAGUAGCUGGUCUGAGAGGAUGAUCAGCCACACUGGGACUGAGACACGGCCCAGACUCCUACGGGAGGCAGCAGUGGGGAAUAUUGGACAAUGGAGGCAACUCUGAUCCAGCAAUGCCGCGUGUGUGAUGAAGGCCCUAGGGUUGUAAAGCACUUUCAACGGUGAAGAUGAUGACGGUAGCCGUAGAAGAAG
RNAcentral lists this ribosomal RNA (408 nucleotides) under uncultured Pseudomonadota bacterium. RNAcentral describes it as "bacterial SSU rRNA". It matches the Rfam family "Bacterial small subunit ribosomal RNA", at positions 36 to 490 of the family's 1533-position model. The record is from RNAcentral. Lineage: Bacteria; Pseudomonadati; Pseudomonadota.